RNAcentral lists this non-coding RNA (147 nucleotides) under unclassified sequences. RNAcentral describes it as "RT-16 RNA". It matches the Rfam family "RT-16 RNA". From Rfam's summary of the family: candidate division DUSEL4 (Archaea). Nearby to self-splicing intron genes The record is from Rfam by way of RNAcentral.
UCCUGACUAUGCUAUGCGUAGAUUAGGGCUACACGUCAAUUUAUCAGCACAUUGUUGAUUUUCAUUUUAAGUCAUAAAAUACAAAAGCGACAUCCGUGAAGCUUUGGUGCAGGACUAUCCUGGUAAUAGGUAAAUUGGCUAUAAGCA